AGUGAACGCUGGCGGUAGGCCUAACACAUGCAAGUCGAACGGCAGCACAGUAAGAUCUUGCUCUUACGGGUGGCGAGUGGCGGACGGGUGAGGAAUACAUCGGAAUCUACUUUUUCGGGGGGGAUAACGGAGGGAAACUUACGCUAAUACCGCAUACGACCUACGGGUGAAAGCAGGGGAUCUUCGGACCUUGCGCGAUUGAAUGAGCCGAUGUCGGAUUAGCUAGUUGGCGGGGUAAAGGCCCACCAAGGCGACGAUCCGUAGCUGGUCUGAGAGGAUGAUCAGCCACACUGGAACUGAGACACGGUCCAGACUCCUACGGGAGGCAGCAGUGGGGAAUAUUGGACAAUGGGCGCAAGCCUGAUCCAGCCAUACCGCGUGGGUGAAGAAGGCCUUCGGGUUGUAAAGCCCUUUUGUUGGGAAAGAAAAGCAGCAGGUUAAUACCCCGCUGUUCUGACGGUACCCAAAGAAUAAGCACCGGCUAACUUCGUG
Molecule: ribosomal RNA, 492 nt
Filed under: uncultured bacterium
Lineage: Bacteria
Description: partial 16S ribosomal RNA
Rfam family: Bacterial small subunit ribosomal RNA
Source: RNAcentral